UGGUGGUCGACGUGGCCGGGGGCAGGGCCGUGGUCGCGGUCAACCUUCGCAGUCUUCCUCUCGCGGCGGCGGCGGUAGAGCAAGAGGCCGUGGAUCAUCUGGUUCUACUGCAACUUAUAAUCCCCCUCCUCCUCAAAUGGCUCCGGCUCAGCCACCUCCUCAAAUGGCUGUAGCUACGCCAGUUCCUCCAUCGGGGGCCCCUUUUUCUCAUCCUUCUUCAAGUUCUGGUGUAGGAUCACUUUCCAGAGAGGUAUCGGAGAAGCUUACAAUGGAGCCGGUGGCUGUGACUACGGCGCCUCCUCUUCCUCCGUCGUCGUCAAAGGCGAUUAGGUUCCCUCCAAGACCGGGGUUCGGCACGGUCGGUACAAAGUGUGUGGUUAGGGCCAACCAUUUUCUCGUAGAUGUUGCUAAUGCCGAUCUUCAUCACUACGAUGUAACUUUCUUUCUCGCAUGUCUCCCUAUUUGAUUUUAAGCCUGUAUUUUUUCUCGACAUUUUUGGCUUGUUGUUCUAAUCGGUUUUUUUUUUUUAUAUUUGUUAAAAUUUUCUUUCUUUUUUGCUUGUAUAUGUCUGCUUCCUUCCUUUUGACCUAUCUAUGGAUUUAAGUUUUCAGUAAUUACUUUGAAAAACCGAGGGAAACCUUCACUGUUAAUGGCUUGCUUAAACGAAUUCCACUUGUUUAGAUCAUAUUUUUUGAAUUCUAAUGUUUUCAUGUUUCUGUUCUCUUAUUCAUUUACCUUGUUCAUCCCUGAUACUUGCAUUUUCUUCUCCAAUAUUUUAAUCGCUAGUUUUCCUUGUCAUUUUUCUGCCUUGUUUUAAUCGUUUUAUAUUUUGGCACUUCUUAGAGCUCUGUUUUUUAUCCGACUUUACUAUACACUGAAGGUUUUAGUAGUUGCUUUUCCUUAAAAAAACCCAAGGGAAAGUUUAACUGUUAAUGAUUUGCUUGACUGAGUUGGGCUUUUUGUUAUUUAUUGUCUCGUUAAAUUUUAUUUUCAUUGGAUUUUAAUGUGUAUUUUACUCAUCUGUUUUCUUAUUUAUUUACUUGUCUCUUUGUCCAUCUCUGUUACUUGCAUCUUCUUCUCGUCUCUUUUGAUGGCCUUUGGUGCUUCAUUGCUUAUAGGUUACUAUAACGCCUGAGGUAACCGCAAAAAAGGUUAACAGAGCAAUAAUGAAGCAACUUAUUGAUGUAUACAAAGAGUCGCAUCUUGGACGUCGGUGUCCAGCUUAUGAUGGCAGGAAGAGUUUGUACACUGCUGGUCCUCUUCCCUUCGAGUCAAAGGAGCUUGUUAUCAAGCUACCUGAGGAAGAUCGCAGUGCUGGUUCGUCUAGGCCUGCGCGGUAAUAUUAUUGUAUCCUAUGAUGGUCUCAUGACAUUUUACAUUUUAUCCGAUGUCAUUAUUGCUUACCUGUGAUCUUUCUGGUUGCCUGUCACUGCAGGAAGGAGCGACAAUUUAAGGUUGCAAUCAAAUUGGCCUCCAAGCCAGACCUUCAUUAUCUGAGGGAGUUUCUGAGCAGAAAGCAUUUUGAAUGCCCUCAAGAAGCUAUUCAAGUUCUGGAUGUUGUUCUUAGAGCUAAACCAUCUCAGACGUAACUGCCUGUUGAUUGCUGUUAAACAUUGCUUGCUGUUAAAUUGCUGAAACCAUUUUAUAUGACAUCAAAUUAAUACAUUUGAAACAUCAUUUGGCAGAUAUACUGAGGUGGGAAGGUCUUUUUUCCAUACAUCAUUAGGUCCUAGAGGAGAACUUGGUAAUGGAAUAGAAUACUGGUCUGGAUAUUAUCAGAGUCUUCGACCCACUCAGAUGGGUUUAUCUCUUAAUAUUGGUAGGUACUUUGAUUGCUCAGUUUGUGUAGCCACUUUGUUCCUAAUGUUUCAGUAUGAAGAUUUACUGGUUUUGCUUUGCAGAUGUGUCUGCUCGAUCAUUCUAUGAGCCAAUUUUAGUUUCAGAGUUUGUUGCGAAACAUUUCCGACGAUCAAACCUGUCAAAGCCGCUGUCUGAUCAAGAUCGUAUUAAAGUAUUAUUACACUGUUUUCUUGCCCUUCGUAUAUAUUGAAUUCAGUGUUUAUUAAUCAAAACUUGCAGAAUAUUUUUGGAAUGCUUCUUUUGCUGUAUUCUUUAGGUGAAAAAGGCCUUGAAGGGAGUAAGAGUUAAGCUCAUCUACAUGGAUUAUGCCAAAACUUGCAAGAUUAUUGGAGUAUCUAGAGACCCUAUAAGCCAGUUGACGUGAGUUUGUUGUUAUAAUACUAUACGUGCUCAAAAAUAUUUUUAGUAAGCUACUUUUAUGUGGCCUGUGUGGUAGAAUUGUUUUUGGGUUAUUUGUAGUCUUGUAUUCACUACUUAUCUAAGUUCCAUCUUCAAAUUGAGUUGGUUUUUUUUUUUUUUUUUGUGGUUGACAGUUUUUAGUAUUUGGCUUGGUUAUGUCUUGUUCUAAAAUAUUGUUUAUGCUUGUGCAUUUGUAAAAUCUUGUGCUAUGGUAUAUUUGUCCCAUUCUGUCUCAUUAUGCUUCUGUUCAAUUUUUGGCUUUUUUAGAUUUACUCAUGAUGAUAAGAGAACAAAUGUCUCUGUGGUCAAGUAUUUCCGUGAGAAAUACAAUGUUGUGCUUAAAUAUCCAUCCUUGCCUGCACUUCAAAGUGGAAGCGAAGCUAGACCUGUCUACCUGCCAAUGGAGGUUUUUACUUUAUAUCAAGAUCUUGUUUUUUGUUUUCUUUUUGUUUGUUACUGAUUCUCUUGUAUGAUUUUGUUUUACAGCUUUGUAGUAUCGUUGAGGGUCAAAGAUACACAAAAAAACUAAAUGAACAACAAGUUAGAUCUCUGCUGAGAGCAACUUGUCAACGUCCGAACAUUAGGGAGGGGAAUAUUACAAAGGUACUACAGUUUUGGAUGCUUAUUAUUUUUUAAAUUUGUUGAUAAGAUGAGAAUUGUGAUUCAUUUGGCAUUUCAUGUUUCUGCAGAUGGUCCAGGUCAAUAAUUUUGAGGUGGAGGAGCUUGUUACUAAAGAAUUUGGAAUGCAUGUUCGCAAAGAACUUGCAUUGAUUAAUGCACGAGUUCUAAAUCCUCCAGUGGUACUUAUAUGCCAAUAUGUUAUAUUUUCAAGGAUACUGUCCGUCUUAUAAUAAGAUUAAUGUCGGUUUUGGUUGCUGCAGCUAAAGUAUCACGAUAGUGGACGUGACAAAAUUGUUAAUCCUAGCUGUGGGCAAUGGAACAUGAUCAACAAGGUGAUUUUUUUUUCUUCCCCUCUUAUUCUUUGAAGUGGCAUUAUUUGUAAAAUUUAAGGAAUUAGACCUGUCUCUUCAGUCUCCUCUUGUUCCAGAGUUCUUGUUCAUUUUUUUUCAAUUCAUUUUUAAGGUUUGCAGCGUCUCUUCUUUGCAGUUUAGUGUAGCUGUAAGUCUUUUGGGAAAAUUUUGCUAGGUUUUAAGGUUCAACAUUUUUUUUGCAGAAAAUGGUCAAUGGGGGUAAAGUUGAUUUCUGGUCUUGUGUGAACUUCUCCUCUGAAUAUAGGAAUAUGUCAGAAGACUUCUGUGCGGGGCUGGUGAAUAUGUGUAACAGCAAAGGAAUGGUAUGCUGUGUGGUUUUUUUAGUGUAGGUGGAUGGUACAUCUGUUAUUUAUUCAUCACUAGCUUGAUUUCCGAUUUUGUUACUCUAGGUGUUUCGCCAAACUCCUUCAAUUGCAAUGCGAUCAGCUCGUGCUGAUCGAAUUGAUCAGACUCUCAUGGAUGUAUACAAAGAGUCUGCAGGCUUGAAUAAGCCACUUAAGUUGUUGAUAAUUAUCUUACCUGAUCAGACUGGCUCAUAUGGUAAGAAAUUCUGAUGUUUUGUAAAUAGGUAAUUCCUGGGGUUUCUUUGCGCAACUCUAAUCUUUUUGUUUGCAGGAAAAAUAAAGCGAAUUUGUGAGACGGAGCUAGGUAUUGUUUCACAAUGUUGUAAGCCUGCGCAAGCUUCAAAGUUUAGCAACCAAUAUUUUGAAAAUGUUGCUCUCAAGAUCAAUGCUAAGGUAUCUGUUUUGCCUCACUGGUGGUGAUUUGAUAUAGUGGUUUCUUGUCUUGCUAUCUUCUUUUAAAUCAUUUGAGAAUUGUAAAUUCUGUAGGUUGGGGGGAGAAAUACUGUGCUGAACGAUGCUGUUUUAAGGAGAAUUCCGCUUGUGACUGAUGUCCCUACAAUCAUUUUUGGGGCAGAUGUCACUCAUCCGCCGCCUGGCGAAGACUCUAGUUCUUCUAUAGCUGCAGUAAGCAUAUUCAUUAUUCUCUAUCAUCCCCAUUUUGUUACUUGAUCAUAUUUAAGAGGUUAUUGGCUGGCUGCAGGUCGUUGCUUCAAUGGAUUGGCCUGAGGUAACCAAGUAUCGUGGAAUUGUCUCUGCACAGACUCACCGGGUGGAAAUAAUCGAGGAUCUUUAUAAACAAACUAGGGAUCCACAGAAGGGUUUAGUUGAGGGUGGAAUGGUUAGGUAGGGAGAUAGAUUUAUUUCAGGCUUAAAUUUUUAGUUUCUUCUGGAAGUGCUCUACUUUCUUAACAUUUCAAGUUCUCUGCAGGGAGUUGCUUCUUGCUUUCUACAGGUCAACGAAACAAAAGCCUUCUAGAAUUAUCUUCUAUAGGUAAUGUUUGCUUUUGACCAUCCAAAUCUAUGUAUAUAUUUCUAGCAGCAGUGCUGAUAUCUGAUUUUUGAUGUGUGGCAGAGAUGGUGUUAGUGAAGGACAAUUCAGCCAAGUUUUGCUUUAUGAAAUGGAUGCGAUUCGGAAGGUAUUGAAAUCACUGUAUAAUUUCUAUUAUAGUUAGUUCACUGUAUAAUGGAUGCAAUGAUUUUUGGUGUUUGGGCCUUCUGACCCCCGCAGUUUUCUUCCUUCCAGGCUUGUUCCUCGCUACAGGAAGGAUAUAUGCCUCGGGUUACAUUUGUUGUGGUUCAAAAGAGGCAUCAUACUCGCUUAUUCCCUACUGAUCGCAACAAAACUGAUAGGAGUGGCAACAUAUUACCAGGUGAUUCUAAUCUUAUAAUAGGGAUUUGAUCGUAUUCUCUUGAUCUUCAUUUUGUUAGCAUAUUUUAAUGUAGCCAAUAACUUUUAGGUACUGUUGUGGAUACUAGCAUCUGUCAUCCAACUGAGUUUGAUUUUUAUCUCAAUAGUCAUGCUGGAAUCCAGGUAAAAUGAGGCCUUCCCUUGAAGUGUGAUGGUUUUUAUGUUAAUUUUGUCCGAUCUGAUAUUGAUAUUGAUGUUGUUGUGUAGGGGACAAGCAAGCCCACACAUUACCACGUUUUGUUGGAUGAAAAUGGCUUCAGUGCUGACAUCUUGCAAGUGCUCACAAACAAUUUAUGUUACACGUAUGUGUUUACUCCUUUCUCUAUAAUCUUGAAAUGGGGUGAAUAAAUAAUGCUUUAGAUCAGCACUAGCAAUUAUAUAGUAAUAAUUUUACUUUGUGGACAGGUAUGCGAGGUGUACCAAGUCCGUUUCCAUAGGUUUGUGAUGAUGUUUUUUUGUCUUGUUAAAUUUGUUGACUAAGGUUGGUUUUGACAGUAAUAUUUGGAUUAUAUGUUUGCAGUUCCUCCGGCGUACUAUGCUCACCUCGCUGCUUAUAGGGCACGCUAUUAUAUUGAGGAUGAGAUGUCGGAUAGUGGGUCUACUGGUGGAGGCCGAAAGCCGAAAGACAAGGUUGUAGAGGUUAGGCCGCUGCCCAGCAUAAAGGAUAAUGUGAAGGAAGUGAUGUUCUACGUCUGAUAAAUUAUGUUUGGUUGAUUGUGGGAAGUUGCGCAAGUAUAGUUGCACAGUUUGUGGAUGAUGGUGGAGUCUAAUUUUGGAGUUUUUGUUUUGGUGGUUGAGCGACUUGUUGUCUGAAGUUUGAAUUAUUAUAAAUCACACACUGUUUGUGGAUUACGAAAAUUACAUAAAUGUUCUUUAUUUUUAAGACAUGUUCUUAGAAAGGAGUUUUGGUAUCAUUCUUAAGCUUCUUUUAUAUCACCGAUUAAUACAAGAGACGAUGAAAUUUUAGAGAAUAAUGUCUUUUUAUUAAGAGUUUUUAAAUGUUCAGUACACAAAUGGUAAGAUACGCUCGGAAAUCCUCACUGCUCCUCCUUGCAACUCCAAUGAAUAAAAAAGCAAACCUAAUCAAUUUACUUUUUAAUUUACCAUUUUAAUAAACAUAGUAAAUACAAUUUUAUUAACUUAUUAAAUAAUUUUAUAAAUUUACAUAUUUUUAAUAAUUUCAUAAAAGUGUGAUAAUUUUAAAAACUUUUAUUAUAUAUAAUUUUUAAUCUAAUGUUUUCAAUAGUUAUAUUUUAUUAUCAUAUCACUUUACAAUUACGUUUGAAAUUAAAUAUACACCUCACCACUGUUUUUAUUCUCACUGCUAUUGCUGUUUUUAACUUUACCGAAGAUAAAUGUAUCGUCCAUCCCAAUUAAACCUUAGUCCAUUUAUAGUGGUUUUUUUACUUCGUUAAAGCUAGACAAACUAUGCCAUUAAAAUUUUAAUAGCUUAAGUUUAGAUUGGAUGAGCGAUGCGUUUAUUUUCGGUGAGAUUAAAAACAACAAUGGUAGUUAAAUUAGUUACUGUAGCGAUGAAAUUAGAUACUGUAGUAGUGAUAUUAGAAAUUGCGGUAAGGUGUGUGUUUAGAUUCAAACGCAACUAUAACGAUGAGUUGAGAAUAGAAAAUAACUAUUAAAGACAUUAGAUUUAUGAGUUCUCUCUCCUUUCAUCUUUUUUUUCACCCUUAAAUUCUGUUGAUGAAUAAAAAAUAUUCUUUAAAUAUCAAAGGAAAGCUCUCAUUUAAUCCUCUCAUCUGAUUGUAUGAAAACAGUUUUGUUCAUUCGUCAGUUAUUCUGCUCUAUCAUUGCUUUUAUCUGUUUCAUUUUUUUCCAAUCUAAAACUAAAAAAUAAGCACCAUCUUUUCCAUUCAUGAUGACACAGAAGGUGAAGAAAAUUAUAAAUUUUGAUUCAUCAAUGGGUAUGGGUGGUUAACCAAAAUAGAGAAGAUAAAAAAAGAAGAAGCAAUGUUUAAAAUAAAAGUCAUUUUCCUUUUUUUAAAAAUAUGGAUGAUUGAUAAUUUUAAAAAUAAUUUUCAUUAUUUUCACCAAAAUGUUUUGUAGAAUUAAAAAAGACGAGAACAAGAGUUUUUUAAUUUUAAAUGAACGAGUUCACAAUGGGUUCAAAUCCAUAUAAACACAAAAAAAUAAUUAUUUUUCAACAGUUUUUUUUUCUAAUAUUGAAUUCGAUACCCUGAUUUGAAUCCAUAUAAAUACAAAAUUUAUUUUAUUUUAUUAAAACAUGUUUUUAUUUCUAUUUAUCAAUUUUAAAAAAAAUAGAAAAUGAAAAUCAUGUUUCUAUUUACCAAAUAUUUCACAAAUUAAACUGACUUUAAUUGUUUAAAAAAAAGAAAAAAAAUUCUAUUAUUUUCUGGUGAAGUAGAAAUUAGGAAAGGGAAGGGAUGCUUGCUAUGGAAAUUGUGGAUGGAAAAAAGGAAGUUGUCAAUAAAGAAAAAAAAAAAUUUUUGGUAUUUUUUUAUGUCCGUUUUAUUGUUUAUGUUUGGGGUUCGUGGUUGUUCUUCUCAACAAUGUCAUCUUCAAUGUUUAAAUCUAUGUCUCAAAUUAAGAAUACAAUGUGCCUUACCAUUACACCCAACACUUGUUGGUAAAAAAAAAGUUUAAAAUUUAUAUGAUAUUUUAAAAACAUAUAGAUAAUUUAAUGGUAAAAUUAUAAUUUUAUUUUUUUGAAGGAUAAUGCUAAUAUUGUAAUUAUAUUUAUUAUUGUAAUUUUACAUAAAAAUUAAAUUAAUUAACUUGUAACAUCAACUAAGUUAAAUAUUUCUUUAAGUAUUAAAUUAUGUAAAAAAUAUAUUAAUAAAUAGGUGAAAUGAGGUUUUGGUUGAACCUGAUUUCUUAAGUUUAACCCUUACUACCCUAACUCAACGACAUUAUUUUUUGAAAGAACUCGAUCAAGAUUGCUUUUUCCGUAGUUACUUUUCCUUAAAAAAACCCAAGGGAAAGUUUAACUGUUAAUGAUUUGCUUAAAUGAGUUGGGCUUUUUGUUAUUUAUUGUCUCGUUAAUUUUUAUUUUCAUUGGAUUUUAAUGUGUAUUUUCCUUUUCUGUUUUCUUAUUUAUUUACUUGUCUCUUUGUCCAUCUCUGUUACUUGCAUCUUCUUCUCGUCUCUUUUGAUGGCCUUUGGUGCUUCAUUGCUUAUAGGUUACUGUAACGCCUGAGGUAACCGCAAAAAAGGUUAACAGAGCAAUAAUGAAGCAACUUAUUGAUGUAUACAAAGAGUCGCAUCUUGGACGUCGGUGUCCAGCUUAUGAUGGCAGGAAGAGUUUGUACACUGCUGGUCCUCUUCCCUUCGAGUCAAAGGAGCUUGUUAUCAAGCUACCUGAGGAAGAUCGCAGUGCUGGUUCGUCUAGGCCUGCGCGGUAAUAUUAUUGUAUCCUAUGAUGGUCUCUUGACAUUUUACAUUAUAUCCGAUGUCAUAAUUGCUUACCUCUGAUCUUUCUGGUUGCCUGUCACUGCAGGAAGGAGCGACAAUUUAAGGUUGCAAUCAAACUGGCCUCCAAGCCAGACCUUCAUUAUCUCAGGGAGUUUUUGAGCAGAAAGCAUUUUGAAUGUCCUCAAGAAGCUAUUCAAGUUCUGGAUGUUGUUCUUAGAGCUAAACCAUCUCAGAUGUAACUGCCUGUUGAUUAAUGUUAAACAUUUCUGGCUAUUAAAUUGUUGAAACCAUUUUAUAUGACAUCAAAUUAAUACAUUUGAAACAUCAUUUGGCAGAUAUACUGAGGUGGGAAGGUCUUUUUUCUAUACAUCAUUAGGUCCUAGAGGAGAACUUGGUAAUGGAACAGAAUACUGGUCUGGAUAUUAUCAGAGUCUUCGACCCACUCAGAUGGGUUUAUCUCUUAAUAUUGGUAGGUACUUUGAUUGCUCAGUUUGUGUAGCCACUUUGUUCCUAAUGUUUCAGUAUGAAGAUUUACUGGUUUUGCUUUGCAGAUGUGUCUGCUCGAUCAUUCUAUGAGCCAAUUUUAGUUUCAGAGUUUGUUGUGAAACAUUUCCGACGAUCAAACCUGUCAAAGCCGCUGUCUGAUCAAGAUCGUAUUAAAGUACGUAUAUAUUGAAUUCAGUGUUUAUUAAUCAAAACUUGCAGAAUUUUUUUGCAAUGCUUCUUUUGCCGUAUUUUUUAGGUGAAAAAGGCCUUGAAGGGAGUAAGAGUUAGGCUCAUCUACAUGGAUUAUGCCAAAACUUGCAAGAUUAUUGGAGUAUCUAGAGACCCUAUAAGCCAGUUGACGUGAGUUUGUUGUUAUAAUACUAUACCUGCUCAUAAAUAUUUUUAGUAAGCUACUUUUAUGUGGCCUGUGUGGUAGAAUUGUUUUUGGGUUAUUUGUAGUCUUGUAUUCACUACUUAUCUAAGUUACAUCUUAAAAUUGAGUUGGUUUUAUUUUUAUUUUUUGCAGUUGACAGUUUUUAGUAUUUGGCUUGGUUAUGUCUUGUUCUAAAAUAUUGUUUAUGCUUAUACAUUUGUAAAAUCUUGUGCUUAUGGUACAUUUGUACCAUUCUGUCUCAUUAUGUUUCUGUUCAAUUUUUGGCUGUUUUAGAUUUCCUCUUGAUGAUAAGAGAACAAAUGUCUCUGUGGUCAAGUAUUUCCGUGAGAAAUACAAUGUUGUGCUUAAAUAUCCAUCCUUGCCUGCACUUCAAAGUGGAAGUGAAGCUAGACCUGUCUACCUGCCAAUGGAGGUUUUUACUUUAUAUCAAGAUGAUCUUGUUUUUGUUUUCUUUUUGUUUGUUACUGAUUCUCCUGUAUGAUUUUGUUUUACAGCUUUGUAGUAUCGUUGAGGGUCAAAGAUACACAAAAAAACUAAAUGAACAACAAGUUAGAUCUCUGCUGAGAGCAACUUGUCAACGUCCGAACAUUAGGGAGGGGAAUAUUACAAAGGUACUACAGUUUUGGAUGCUUAUUAUUUUUUAAAUUGGUUGAUAAGAUGAGAAUUUUGAUUCAUUGGCAUUUCAUGUUUCUGCAGAUGGUCCAGGUCAAUAAUUUUGAGGUGGAGGAGCUUGUUACUAAAGAAUUUGGAAUGCAUGUUCGCAAAGAACUUGCAUUGAUUAAUGCACAAGUUCUAAAUCCUCCAGUGGUACUUUUAAGCCAAUAUGUUAUAUUUUCAAGGAUACUGUCAGUCUUAUAAUACGAUUAAUGUCUGUUUUGGUUGCUGCAGCUAAAGUAUCACGAUAGUGGACGUGACAAAAUCGUUAAUCCUAGUUGCGGGCAAUGGAACAUGAUCAACAAGGUGGUAUUUUUUUUUCUUCCCCUCUUCUUUGAAGUGGCAUUGUUUGUAAAAUUUAAGGAAUCAGACCUGUCUCUUCAGUCUCCUCUUGUUCCAGAGUUCUUGUUCAUUUUUUCAAUUCAUUUUUAAGGUAGCUAUAAGUCUUUUGGGAAAAUUUUGAUAGGUUUUAAGGUUCAACAGUUUUUUUUUUUUUUUUGCAGAAAAUGGUCAAUUGGGGUAAAGUCGAUUUCUGGUCUUGUGUGAACUUCUCCUCGGAAUAUUGGAAUAUGUCAGAAGAGUUCUGUGCGGAGCUGGUGAAUAUGUGUAACAACAAAGGAAUGGUAUGCUGUGUGGUUUUUUUUAGUGUAGGUGGAUGGUAUAUCUGUUAUUUAUUUAUCACUAGCAUGAUUUCCCAUUUUGUGACUCUAGGUGUUUUGCCAAACUCCUUCAAUUGCAAUGCGAUCAGCUUGUGCUGACCGAAUUGAUCAGAUUCUCAUGGAUGUAUACAAAGAGUCUGCAGGCUUGAAUAAGCCACUUCAGUUGUUGAUAAUUAUCUUACCUGAUCAGACUGGCUCUUACGGUAAGAAAUUCUGAUGUUUUGUAAAUAGGUAAUUCCUGGGGUUUCUUUGCGCGACUCAAAUCUUUUUGCUUGCAGGAAAAAUAAAGCGAAUUUGUGAGACGGAGCUAGGUAUUGUUUCACAAUGUUGUAAGCCUGUGCAAGCUGCAAAGUUUAGCAACCAAUAUUUUGAAAAUGUUGCUCUCAAGAUCAAUGCUAAGGUAUGUGUUUUGCCUCACUGGUGGUGAUUUGAUAUAGUGUUUUCUUGUCUUGUUAUCUUAAUUCAUUUGAGAAUUGUAAAUUCUGUAGGUUGGGGGGCGAAAUACUGUGCUGAACGAUGCUAUUUUAAGGAGAAUUCCGCUUGUGACUGAUGUCCCUACAAUCAUUUUUGGGGCAGAUGUCACUCAUCCGCCGCCUGGCGAAGACUCUAGUUCUUCUAUAGCUGCAGUAAGCAUAUUCAUUGUUCUCUACAUCCCCAUUUUGUUACUUGAUCAUAUUUAAGAGGUUAUUGGCUGGAUGCAGGUCGUUGCUUCAAUGGAUUGGCCUGAGGUAACCAAGUAUCGUGGAAUUGUCUCUGCACAGACUCACCGGAUGGAAAUAAUCCAGGAUCUUUAUAAACAAACAAAGGAUCCACAGAAGGGUUUAGUUGAGGGUGGAAUGGUUAGGUAGGGAGAUAGAUUUAUUUCGGGCUUAAUUUUUUAGUUUCUUCUGGACGUGCUCUACUUUCUUAACAUUUCAAGUUCUCUGCAGGGAAUUGCUUGUUGCUUUCUUCAAGUCAACAAGACAAAAGCCUUCUAGAAUUAUCUUCUAUAGGUAAUGUUUGCUUUUGACCAUCCAAAUAUAUGUAUAUACUUCUAGCAGCAGUGCUGACAUCUGAUUUUUGAUGUGGCAGAGGUGGUGUUAGUGAAGGACAAUUCAGCCAAGUUUUGCUUUAUGAAAUGGAUGCGAUUUGGAAGGUAUUGAAAUCACUGUAUAAUGUCUAUUAUAGUUGGUUCACUGUAUAAUGGAUGCUUCUGACCCCUGCAGUUUUCUUCCUUCCAGGCUUGUUCCUCGCUACAGGAAGGAUAUAUGCCUCGGGUUACAUUUGUUGUGGUUCAAAAGAGGCAUCAUACUCGCUUAUUCCCUACUGAUCGCAACAAAACUGAUGGGAGUGGCAACAUAUUACCAGGUGAUUCUAAUCUUAUAAUAGGGAUUUGAUCGUAUUCUCUUGAUCUUCAUUUUGUUAGCAUAUUUUAAUGUAGCCAAUAAAUUUUAGGUACUGUUGUGGAUACUAGCAUCUGUCAUCCAACCGAGUUUGAUUUUUAUCUCAAUAGUCAUGCUGGAAUCCUGGUUAAAUGAGGCUUCCCUUGAAGUGUGAUGGUUUUUAUGUUAAUUUUGUCCGAUCUGAUACUGAUGUUGUUGUGUAGGGGACAAGCAAGGCCACACGUUACCACGUUUUGUUUGAUGAAAAUGGCUUCAGUGCUGACAUCUUGCAAGUGCUCACAAACAGUUUAUGUUACACGUAUGUGUUUACUCCUUUCUCUAUAAUCCUGUAAUGGGGUGAAUAAAUAAUGCUUUAGAUCAGCACUAGUAAUUAUAUAGUAAUAAUUUUACUUUGUGGAUAGGUAUGCGAGGUGUACCAAGUCCGUUUCCAUAGGUUUGUGAUGAUGUUUUUUUGUCUUGUUAAAUUUGUUAACUUAAGGUUGGUUUUGACAGUGAAUAUUUGAAUUAUAUGUUUGCAGUGCCUCCGGCAUACUAUGCUCACCUCGCUGCUUAUAGGGCACGCUAUUAUAUUGAGGAUGAGAUGUCGGAUAGUGGGUCUACUGGUGGAGGCCGAAAGCCGAAAGACAAGGUUGUAGAGUUUAGGCCGCUCCCCAGCAUAAAGGACAAUGUGAAGGAAGUGUUUGGUUGGUGGAAAGUUGCGCAAGUAUAGUUGCACAGUUUGUGGAUGAUGGUGGAGUCUUGUUGAUUCCAUUGGUGGACUUUGUAAUUAUUUAAUUUUGGAGUUUCUGUUUUGGUGGUUGAGCGAAUUGUCGUCUGAAGUUUGGAUUACCAUAAUGCACACACUGUUUGUGGAUUACGAAAAUUUCAGAAAUGUCCUGUAUUUUCAAGAAAAGUUCUUAGAAAGGAUUUUUAGUAUUAUUUUUAAGUUUCUUUUAGAUCACCAAUUAAUACAAGUGAUGAUGAAAUUUUAAAGAAUAAUGUCUUUUUACUAGAGUUUUUACAUGUUCAGAACACAAAUGGUAAGGUGCGUUCGGAAAUCCUCCCUGCACCUCCCUGCAACUCCAAUUUUCUACCGGAGUUUAAGCUCCAAUGAAAAUAAAAGCAACCCUAAUCAAAUUUGUUUUUUUUUUAAUUUAAAAUUUUAAUAAAUAUAAUAAAUACAAUUUUAAUAUUUUAUUAAAUAUUUUUAUAAAUUUACAUAUUUUUAAUAAUUUCAUAAGAGUUAGAAACUUUUAUUAUAUAUAAUUUUUAAUCUAAUGCUUUCAAUAGUUAUAUUUCAUUAUCACCUCACCGUUACAACUACGUUUGAAAUUAAAUACACGCUUCACCAUUGUUUUUAUUCUCAAUGCUAUUGUUGUUUUUAAUCUUACCGAAGAUAAAUGCAUUAUCCAUUCCAAUUAAAUCUCAGUCCACUUAUAGUGUUUUUUACUUCGUUAAAGGAGGACAAACCAUGCAAAGUUUUAAUAGUUUAAGCUUAGUUUAGAUGAGCGGUGCGUUUACUUUCAGUGAGAUUAACAACAACAAUGAUAGUGAGAUUAGUUACUGUAACGACCCAAAAUCCGUGGGCACCGAAAAAGUGUGUGUAUUAUCGGGCCUCCGUCUUAGUGAAUUGAGUUCGAAAAUAAUUAUUAGAAAUAUUUACGAGAUUAGUUGUGUGUUUAAUUAGGUUUUAGAUAGGUGAAUUUAGUUUAAUUAAGAAUAAUUAGGAAAGAGGAUCAAAUUGAAUAAAGAGUGAAAGUCUAAUUAUAGAUUAAAAGAAAGUUAAAAGGACUAAAUAGGCAAAUAUGCCAAGUCCCAUAAGUGGGGUGGCAUAUAUGCAUUAAAUUCAAUAUUUUGUUUAAGUUAUAUAUAUAAAUAUUAUAUGUAUAUAAAUAUUAUAAUUAUUUAUUUAAAUGGUAAUUUAUUUUAAUUAUAUUAUUUUAUUAUGGAAUAAAUUAAAAUUAAGACAAAUGUAUGGUGAGAAGAUGGUACAAGUGUAAUAAUAAUAUAUAUACACUUGUAUUAUAAUUAUUAUUUACUUCAAAUUUAAGUAAAAGAUAUUAAUUAACUAAAUAAUUAUAUAAUGAGAUUUUUUUUAUUGAUAAACAAAUUAAGUAGUGACAAUUGUAAGAUUAUGAUGUGGUACAAAUGUAUUAAUUAUAUUUGUUAUUAAAAUAGAUAUUUUAUAAAUAAUAAUUAAUUAAACAUAAAAGGAAAUAAAAACAAAGCAAAAGGAAAGAAACAGAAUAGAAAGAACAAAGAAACAGAGAAGCAAACGAAAUAGGGGAAAGAAAGAAGAAAAAGAAAGAAAAAGGGAAAAUAGGGUUUUUAAAGCUUGGAAUUUAAUUUGGUAAGUCAAUCAAGUCCUUUUCUUUUAAUUUAGAUGUUUUAGAAGUUAGUUUUGUUAAAAAUAAGUUGAGGUUUUGGAAGUUUAUAGAUUAUUAAGCAGGUUCAUGUUGAAUAAAUUGUUAAAUUAGGGAUGUAUUUGAUAGAAAUUUUGAUUGGAAUUGAAUAAAGGAUUGAAUUGUAAACUAAACUAUAAGUUUUUAAUUUUAGGGAUUAAAUUGAAAUAAAUUCGAAAUUAUGAAAAUAUGAUAAAAAUUAGAUAGUUACAUAUGAGUUUGGCAAGAAAUUGAGUAGCAAGAAGGUAUGAAUUGAGAAAGAAAAAUAUAUAGAUUUAGUUAGGAUUAAAUUGAAAUUAAAGUAAAAGUUAGAUAAAAAUUUCAGCAAGUAAAUUGUGUUGUGCUAAUGAUUAUGAAAAUUAUCUUACUUUCUUUUCGUAGCUAAUAUCGCACCCGAGGCAUCCACGAGGAAAGGAAAAGAAAAAGUGGACGAGGAAUAGACACGGGAAUUAUGGUUUGUAUCACUAUAAUUCAAACUUUAUUAUUAUUAAGUGUUUAAUUUGCUAAUUAUGUGUGGUAAGUAUUUUAAGGUAAAAGUUUAAUAAAUAAUAAAUUUAUAAUGUAGUAAUGAAAUUGAAACUGAUACUGAACCGAGUUAUGGAAUACUGGAUAUUGUUUUGAUUACUGAGUGAAUUGUGAAAAUACUGAAUAUUGUUAUGUAUAAUGCAUUGAAUUGUGAAAUUACUGAAGUAAAGAAUUACUGUGAUACUGUGAAACCGAUUGAAAUAAGGAAUUAUAAUUGAUACUGAAUUAAGAUGAAAUUUAUACUGAAAAGUGAAUUAAAUACCCUAUUAACUAGUCGGGCUAGUCGGAUAUAGUUGGCAUGCCAUAAGAUAUGGAAGUGUGCGGGGUAUUUGCCGGCUUACUGAUCAGGCACUUAUGUGCCGACUGCUGUUACUGUUACUGAUUCGGCACUUUGUGUGUCGAAUACUGUUACCGUUACUGUUACAGAUUCAGCACUUUGUGUGUUGAAUACUGUUACUGUUACUGUUACUUUUACCGUUACUGAUUACUGUAUACUGGUGUGUUUGGUUAGAAUCCGUGUAUCCGCCGAGUCCGAGUCGAGUUAAUAGGGGCAAAUGAAAUAAAUUGACUGAUAAAAUUAAAUUGAGUGAUAUAGUAUAUGUGAAAAGUGAAAUUUGAAACAAAGAAAUAAGAAUGAUAAUUAUAUAUAUAUAUAUAUAUAUAUAUAAUUGAUAAUAUAAAAAGGUUGAAUUGUUUAUUAGUAGUGAUAAUUGUAAUAAAAAGUAUGUGUGUGAUUUAAUGUAUUUAAUUAUAAAUUGAAUUAUAGUGAUACCAUUGAGUAUAUGCAUACUCAGCGUACGGUUGUUUCCGUGCGCAGGUUGUAGAAGUCAAGUACUGAACCAGCAUCCAAAGCUAGAUCCGACUUUAGCAAACAUUUUGGUGAUGCAUAUUUUCUUUUGGUAAUGUGGCAUGUACAUAGGAUGUGUAUAAAGGUUAUUAUGUUUUAAUAUAAACGGUUGAAAAUGUUAGUAUUAUAAGUUUAUGAAUUAUAAUGACAGAAGUUUAUCUAUAUUUAUUUAAUUUAAUAUAUUGUUAAAUUUAAAUUGAUAUUAUGUUGAUUAAUUUGAUUAGAAAGUAAUUGGGAUAGAAAUCGGGAAUGUGAAAUGAAUUGGUUGAAUUGGUUGUGAUUUGAAAAUGAAAUGGUUUUUAAUUGUAGGGGGUUUUAUGUAAAAACAAGCAGAAAUGUUGCCGAAAUUUAAAAAAAAAAUUUAAAAAAAUGAAUGAAGUCAAUUACUAAAAUAUUAUAUGAAUUUAUGAUUUUAUCUUAAUGUGUUUAAUAUUUAUUUAAGAAUUAUCGUAAAUUAUCUGAUAUGUCCGGUAAUGUCUCGUAACUCUAUUCCGGCGACGGUUUGGGGUUAGGGGGUGUUACAGUUACUAUGGCGAUGAAAUUAGAUAUUGUAGUAGUGAGAUUAAAAAUUGCGGCAGAGUGUGUGUUUGGAUUCAAAUGCAACUAUAACGAUGAGUUGAGAAUAGAAAAUGACUAUUAAAGACAUUAGAUUUACGAGUUCUCUCUCAUUUCAUUUUUUCCCCCUCAAAUUCUGUUGAUGAAUAAAAAUCUUCUUAAAAUAUCAAAGGAAAACCUCUCAUUUAAUCCUCUCAUCUGAUUGUAUGAAAAUGGUUUUGUUCAUUCAUCAGCUAUUCUGCUCUAUCAUUGCUUUUAUCUGUUUUAUUUUUUUUCAAUUUAAAACUAAAAAAUAAGCACCAUCUUUUCCAUUCAUGAUGACACAGAAGGUAAAAAAAAUUAUAAAUUUUGAUUCAUCAAUGGGUAUGGGUGGUUAACCAAAAUAGAGAAGAUAAAAAAAAAGGUAAUGUUUAAAAUAAGUCAUUUUCCCUUUUUAGAAAAAUGAAUGAUUGAUAAUUUUAAAAAUAAUUUUCAUUAUUUUCACCACAAUGUUUUGUAGAAUUAGAAAAGACGAGAACAAGAGUUUUUUAAUUUUAAAUGAACGAAUUCACAUUGGUUCAAAUCCAUAUAAACACAAAAAAUAUUUAUUUUUCAACCAUUUUUUUCUAAUAUUGAUUUCGGUACCCUAUUCGGAUCCAUAUAAAUAUAAAAUUUAUUUUAUUUUAUUAAAAUAAAAACAUGUUUUUUAUUUCUAUUUACCAAAUAUUUCAUAAAUUAAACUGACUUCUAUUAUUUUCUGGUGAAGUAGAAAUUAGGAGAGGGAAGGGAAUGCUUGCUAUGGAAAUUGGGAUGGAAAAAAAAGAAGUUAUAGUUAAUAAAGAAAAAAAAAGAUUAUCUAUUUUGGUAUUGUUUAUGUCCGUUUUACUGUUUAUAUUUAGGGUUCGUGAUUGUUAUUCUUAACAAUGUCAUCUCUAAGAUUUAAAUCAGUCUUAAAUUAGGAAUAUAAUGUGCCUUACAAGUACAUCCAACACUUGUUGAUAAAUAAAUUAAUAAAUAGUGUAAAAUUUAUAUGAUAUUUUAAAAACAUAUAUAAUUCAAUGGUAAAAUUGUAAUUUUAUUUUUUGAAAGAUAAUGCUAAUAUUGUAAUUAUAUUUAUUAUUUAUUAUUGUAAAUUUACAUAAAAAAAUUAUCUAAUUAACUUGUAACAUAAGCUAAGUUAAAUGUUUUUUUAAGUAUUAAAUUAUGUUACAAACAUGAUGACAAUGUAAAAGAUUAUGUAAAAAAUAUAUUAAUAAAAAGGUUGAAAUGAUUAAUUUGAACCUUACUACACUAACUCAAUGAAAUUCUUUUUUGAAAGAACUCGAUCAAGAAUUUAAAUAAUAAUAUAUAUGUGUAAAUAUAAGUUACCAUGCAAAUUUGAGUUAACUGUACUAAAUGUCUCCAUAUUAUAAUCUUCAUUUUAAAUUAGUCCCUGAACUUCAAAUCAUUCUACUUACAUCUUUAAACUAUCGAUGUUAUAUCAAUUGGGUCAAUUUGUUACUAAAAUUAUUAAUUUAACUAUUAAAUGACACACUAAAUUUUAUAAAAACAAUGAUUAUUGUAAAAAUAAAUAUUUUAAAAAUAUUAAUUUUGAUAUUUUUAAAGCUUUCACAAAAGUUUUAUCAUUCAUUCUUUUUAUUUUUUGUUCUUACUUUUUAAAAUUUUGCAAUAACAUUUUACUUUUUUUAAAAUUGAUUUUAAAUUUAACUGUAUAAAAUUUUACAAAAAGACUUAUCCUCUAUUGGUUACUUAAAAGUAAAACAAACUGACACAAAAUUCAAAAGAAAAAAAAAGGAGGGCAUAAAGUAACAAAUGCAAGAAGGCUAACAAAGCUUCUUGGAGAAGAAUUGACUUGAAAUAAUCCAGUGUGCUUCUAGUAUAAAAAGGGCUCAUUCAUUCCUAGUCGCUCUCUAUACUCAGGUGUGUCGUUUGUUUCAUUUUUUUUCCCUUCUGUUUUGGAGUUUUUGAAAUUUUCAUCUGUUUGCUUAGUUUCCCAAAUUUCAGGCAAUGUCUGGUCGAGGCGGUGGUGGACGUGGCAGUGGUCGGGGUGGUGGUCGACGUGGCCGGGGGCAGGACCAUGGUCGCGGCCAACCUUCACAGUCUUCCUCUCGCGGCGGCGGCGGUAGAGCAAGAGGCCGUGGAUCAUCUGGUUCUACUGCAACUUAUAACCCCCCUCCUCCUCAGAUGGCUCCGGCUCAGCCGCCUCCUCAAAUGGCUGUAGCUCCGCCAGUUCCUCCAUCGGGGGCUGCUUUUUCUCAUCCUUCUUCAAGUUCUGGUGUAGGAUCACUUUCCAGAGAGGUAUCGGAGAAGCUUACAAUGGAGCCGGUGGCUGUGACUACGGCGCCUCCUCUUCCUCCGUCGUUGUCAAAGGCGACUAGGCCCCCUCCAAGACCGGGGUUCGGCACGGUUGGUACAAAAUGUCUGGUUAGAGCCAACCAUUUUCUCAUAGAUGUUGCUAAUGCCGAUCUUUAUCACUACGAUGCCGAUCUUCA
RNAcentral lists this long non-coding RNA (18744 nucleotides) under Gossypium raimondii (Peruvian cotton). Its description in RNAcentral is "long non-coding RNA (GRAI_LNC004776)". Lineage: Eukaryota; Viridiplantae; Streptophyta; Magnoliopsida; Malvales; Malvaceae. The record is from RNAcentral.